RNAcentral lists this ribosomal RNA (465 nucleotides) under Vreelandella stevensii. RNAcentral describes it as "partial 16S ribosomal RNA". It matches the Rfam family "Bacterial small subunit ribosomal RNA", at positions 338 to 795 of the family's 1533-position model. The record is from RNAcentral. Lineage: Bacteria; Pseudomonadati; Pseudomonadota; Gammaproteobacteria; Oceanospirillales; Halomonadaceae.
CCUACGGGUGGCAGCAGUGGGGAAUAUUGGACAAUGGGGGGAACCCUGAUCCAGCCAUGCUGCGUGUGUGAAGAAGGCCCUCGGGUUGUAAAGCACUUUCAGUGAGGAAGAACGCCUGGUGGUUAAUACCCAUCAGGAAAGACAUCACUCACAGAAGAAGCACCGGCUAACUCCGUGCCAGCAGCCGCGGUAAUACGGAGGGUGCGAGCGUUAAUCGGAAUUACUGGGCGUAAAGCGCGCGUAGGUGGCUUGAUAAGCCGGUUGUGAAAGCCCCGGGCUCAACCUGGGAACGGCAUCCGGAACUGUCAAGCUAGGGUGCAGGAGAGGAAGGUAGAAUUCCCGGUGUAGCGGUGAAAUGCGUAGAGAUCGGGAGAAAUGCCAGUGGCGAAGGCGGCCUUCUGGACUGACACUGCCACUGAGGUGCGAAAGCGUGGGUAGCAAACAGGAUUAGAUACCCUUGUAGUC